This 273-nucleotide ribosomal RNA is filed under the name uncultured bacterium. Its description in RNAcentral is "partial 16S ribosomal RNA". It matches the Rfam family "Bacterial small subunit ribosomal RNA", at positions 524 to 796 of the family's 1533-position model. The record is from RNAcentral.
UACGUAGGGUGCUAACGUUGUUCGGAAUUAUUGGGCGUAAAGCGCGUGUAGGUUGCCAAGUAAGUUGAAUGUGAAAGCCCUCGGCUUAACCGAGGAAGUGCAUUCAAAACUGCUCGGCUAGAGGAUGGUAGAGGAAGGUGGAAUUCCUAGUGUAGAGGUGAAAUUCGUAGAUAUUAGGAGGAAUACCUGUGGCGAAGGCGGCCUUCUGGGCCAUUCCUGACACUGAGACGCGAAAGCGUGGGUAGCAAACAGGAUUAGAAACCCCCGUAGUCC